GACGUAACGCUGGCGGCGUGCCUAACACAUGCAAGUCGAACGGAGAACUCAAUAAGCUUGCUUAGAGAGUUCUUAGUGGCGGACGGGUGAGUAACGCGUGGAUAACCUGCCUAGUAGACCGGGACAACCCUUGGAAACGAGGGCUAAUACCGGAUGAGCUUAAUUAGUGGCAUCACUGAUUAAGGAAAGAUGGCCUCUGAAAAUGCUAUCGUUAGUAGAUGGAUCCGCGUCUGAUUAGCUAGUUGGUGGGGUAAAGGCCUACCAAGGCGACGAUCAGUAGCCGGCCUGAGAGGGUGAACGGCCACACUGGGACUGAGGCACGGCCCAGACUCCUACGGGAGGCAGCAGUGGGGAAUCUUCCGCAAUGGACGAAAGUCUGACGGAGCAACGCCGCGUGUACGACGAAGGCCUUCGGGUUGUAAAGUACUGUCUUCAGGGACGAACGGUAUCUAUGUGAAUAAUGUGGGUGCAUGACGGUACCUGAGGAGGAAGCCCCGGCUAACUACGU
RNAcentral lists this ribosomal RNA (508 nucleotides) under Desulfitobacterium sp. enrichment culture clone AQ1-36. Its description in RNAcentral is "bacterial SSU rRNA". It matches the Rfam family "Bacterial small subunit ribosomal RNA", at positions 32 to 506 of the family's 1533-position model. The record is from RNAcentral. Lineage: Bacteria; Bacillati; Bacillota; Clostridia; Eubacteriales; Desulfitobacteriaceae.